This 376-nucleotide ribosomal RNA is filed under the name uncultured bacterium. Its description in RNAcentral is "partial 16S ribosomal RNA". It matches the Rfam family "Bacterial small subunit ribosomal RNA", at positions 355 to 723 of the family's 1533-position model. The record is from RNAcentral.
UGGGGAAUAUUGCACAAUGGGCGCAAGCCUGAUGCAGCCAUGCCGCGUGUGUGAAGAAGGCCUUCGGGUUGUAAAGCACUUUCAGCGAGGAGGAAGGGUAGUGUGUUAAUAGCACAUUGCAUUGACGUUACUCGCAGAAGAAGCACCGGCUAACUCCGUGCCAGCAGCCGCGGUAAUACGGAGGGUGCAAGCGUUAAUCGGAAUUACUGGGCGUAAAGCGCACGCAGGCGGUUUGUUAAGUCAGAUGUGAAAUCCCCGCGCUUAACGUGGGAACUGCAGUUGAAACUGGCAAGCUAGAGUCUUGUAGAGGGGGGUAGAAUUCCAGGUGUAGCGGUGAAAUGCGUAGAGAUCUGGAGGAAUACCGGUGGCGAAGGCG